GGAGCUCCGGUCCCGGCCCCCCGCACAUGCCCGGCCCGCGGCCCCGCCGGGGCUUCCCCUCACAGCCCUGCCCGCCCUGCGGUGCCUCCCGCGCCCCUUCCCGCGGGAUUCCCGCUGGGAUCCAUCGCAGGCCGCGGGUCCGUGUCCCGCCCUGGGCUGGUGACACCCUCUGCGACCACCGACCGCGUCUCCCCUCCCGUGGUCGCUGCCGGGCUCUGCUCCCUCCAUCGCCCUCCGGCUUCUCCGCUCUCCGGUGCCUCCGUUCUGGAAGCCUCUCACUAUCCAGGCUGCUCCAAGCCCUGUCCAACAUGGCCUUGAGCGCUUCCAGGAGUGGGGCAGCCACAGCUUCUCUGGGCGAUCUCGUCACCCUCACAUUCAGGGAAGUGAGCCCCUCCGCUUCGUCUCCUUUGGCUUUUGCCCACCCGUAGCUGCCCCCACUCUUUUUUAUGCCCCCUUUCUGCGCUCAGUGUGUCACAGCCUGUCUGUUCGCCGCCCUUUCGCUCUCCCCGUGUGUCCCCCUGCCUUUGCAGGGCCCCCGGCCGUGUCCCCGUGAGCAGCCCCACAGGGAGUCCCUGCGGGUCCCCUCCGGCCUCUCGCUGCCGUCCUUCUCCCCGCUCCUCCCGGCGCUGCCUGACUCCAUCGGGGCGGUGUUUUCACGGAGUUCCAGAGCCAGGACUUCUCUGCGGACAGGUGGCAAUGUGCGGUGUCACAGGAGCCGCGGCAGCGCGGUGUCUGAUUUCUGAACUUGGCUGAACUCCCCGGCGCUGACCCUGGACGCUGGAUCAUGCCCACAAAUUCUGAGCUCUGAUAGAAGAUAAUAAAUAGUUGGAGUAUGUGGAGGAAACAGGAAAGUGAAAGCCAGUGGUGAGUGUCAAAGUUCUUGUGGAGGUAACUUGUUAAAAGCAAAGUGUAGGAGACUUAAACCCAGUCCUUAAGGCAGUGCCUUGAAAAAGCAAACUGAGGAAACUAAAAUCAUCCUGCCCACAAAAUGUAGAUUUUCCUGGAAAGCAGAAGAUGCUCUUGAGCAUUGCAGCGAGGAGGCUCUUUAAUGAGCAGUAAUCCCUAAUAUUUUGGGAGGUUGCUGAUGGAUGGUUUAAUGCUGGCUUGGCAGGUUUGCUUUCAAGAUACUGGGAAGGGGAGGGGGGAGAACUUGGGGAAUCCCUGGCUGACUUCCUGCUGCUCAGAAAUGCAGCUUUGUCACUUUAACUCAAUCCAAGUGCCACCCCCAGCCCCCUUCUCAGAGCUGGCACUUGUAACCAUGUCACAGCUUUAAUAAUCGUAAUAAUAAUUACAAAUAAAGCCAAAUCAGGUUGGCUGCACAGCAUCCCAUCCCUUCCUGGCACAAGGAGAAGUGUUGAGGGGAGAGAGCAGCCUGGAUUGACUGGGGCAGGCUGCAGGGAUGGGCUCUGAUAAAUAGGUCACUUUUCCAGCCUGGAUGUUGUUUGCCCUGUCCCUAAUCCAUAGUGUGGUGUUUGGGAUUGCUGGAUUUCUAAACCUCUUGGCUGUUGAUACUUCUGGGAGCUUGGGAAAUGCCAGAAAACCUGGAAUUCAUCAUUCUGGCAAAGCUUUUCUGAGAAUGCCUGUGAACUGUGUGUUCUUUUACAGUCUGGUGAUGGGGAAUAUCUCAGUUUUAUGAGUAAUAGUGAUUAUAUGUGAUGUGGAACCAUUUCUAAGCUUAGAUUUUUAUUCUUAUUUUUCUAAAAUCAGCACGUUUUCCAAGGUCAGGUCUCAAACUUUCUUAAAUUUUAGGAGUUCUGUGUUACAUGUUUAUACUGGGAGGAAAAAAUAUGGCUAAAAACCCAUUAAAAAGGGUCAGGUUAAUAACAAUUAGUACAUGUUGGCUUGUUAGUACUUCUGGAAAGAAGGUCAGUAAGGACUGCAAUAAUUGAAGGAGUUUAAUAGAAAUUAUUUUCCCAUUAAAUUUUAAACGAAACAAAAGGUCUAGGUUAUGUUAUAUAUAUAUCAUGAGAACACAGCAACAAUUACCAGUUUAUUUCUUUGUUAAAACAUAUUUGCCUGCAAUCAGGCUGAGCCAACCAAGUAUUCAUGAUGUACUUAGAUUUUUUUAUUUUUUUUUUUAGGACUCUCCAUGGGUUUUGUAAUUAAAUUAGCAGCCUAUUGACUAAGCAGACAUAUUUGCCUUUUUAUUAUGCAUAAAAGCUGAGUUCUUUUUAGCACAUGGAGUUUUUCUAAAAAAGAAAUUUACAUUUUUGACAGCUAUAUUUAGUCUGAAAUGCUAAUGUAUUUCUGACUGCUUUUUUUAGCUAUGAAGUGAUGCGGCCCAUCUAAAGGUGGAACAAAUCUAUUAAACUUUUUUAACUCUCACUUUUGAUAGGCAACACAAAUAAACCCCUUAAAACACAGCUUUUCCCCUCCUCUGCAGACUCUUUAAAAUAAGUAGGAAGCCUCUAUCAUUAGAAUUAUUUUACCUGCCCACAUAAUAGAGCCCAAAAAAUGGAGAACAAAUGCUGUGUUGUGCUGGGAGAUGUAAAUCAGGUGACAGAUUUUGAUCACAGCUCGGUGGGAUACUAUCAGACUGCUUUGCAUAAAUCAGUGCUCUGUGGCAGCUGGAGCUGAGCAGUCUCUCAGUCCUGAUUAAUUUGUGCCUCCCAUCCAGGGGAGGCCUGGUGGGAUCCACACAGGCACAGUGGAGCACUUUGUAGAAUCGGGGAGUUAAGGCAUGUUUGGGUUGUUUUAGCUAAAUGAGGAUUGUCUCAGUGUAGCCCAAGUCAUGAAUUAAAAAAAGGAGGGCUGUGAAAAAGGCCAUUGCUGCAGCAUUAUGAACAAUUCUGAUAAUCUGUGUGAGUGUGGCACUCCAGGCACUUGGCUUUGUGCUUCCUGUCAGCUGAAGGAUUCUGCCUCCACUGCUUUAUUUCCAGUUUUGUUGGAAAAAAAUUGUAUGAGGGAAGUUUUUAGCAGUGCUGCUGAUCCUGUGUGCUGGUGGUAUUCAAUGAGGUGCCUUCAGGAUCAGUGUUAGGGAAUGGGACAAAAAGGAAUUUUUUGUUUCUACUUUUCCUUUAGUUUCACCUUUUAUCCUUUCCUGUGGCUUGUGUUUCUCUCUGGUAAAAUAACAUUUCUUUCCCUGUUGUCCUUCAUUCCUUCCUUCCUUCCUCCAUGUGCUCUGUCAUUCCCACCUUUUGUUCCUCUUCUCCACCUUCCUGCUUUUGUAUUCCUUUGUAUUUUCAGUAGCAAAAAUGUCUCUGGUGGUGCCUUCCCAUUGCCUGAGUGCUCUUGACAGACCCACAGAAUUCCCAGUCAAUCUGCUUCCAUCCCUCCUGAGCGUGGUGGCCUUGGGAUGGAGCAGCUGUGCAAGGGCAGCAGUGUCACCUCACCCUUUCUGCUGCCCCUCUCUCCAGCCCUCAGCCACUUUUGGGAUAGCAGCAUUGUCCAAAAAUUCCUCGAGCUCUGCUCAUGGCAGUGCUGUGCUCACACCUUCAGGAAAUUAAAGGAUUUGGUUUAAUUUUGUGUAUUUUGUAGACUUGCACCAGGAUUUCUACCUAGGGGAAAAAAGAUAUAUAUAUAUAAUUGAGACUGCACUGGUCAGAUAGUUGCACUAAAUAAUUAUUGUAGGUCCCUUCCAAUUGAAAUAAUUCUAUUUGUAUAAUAACCCCCAUGUUUUCAAUAGAACUGUCCAAGAACACGAAGCAUGACUGAAACUGAAGACACAACCUUUCACUUCUUUCAUGUUUGUAGCUAAUUUUGAGGCUCUUAAGUACCACGUUUCACGGUGAUAGAUGUGACAGGUUUCAGUGAUACUCAAAUAUUUUCCUUGAAUAUUCUUCCAGUACCUCAUUUAGUUUGUCUCCUUUCUUAUUAAAAAAUGGGAAGUGAUUGUGUUCUGCUACUGCUUUAUAAUUUCGAGAUUUCUUCUGCAGUUGUUCCAUUUUACAAAUACUGAUUUAGAUUUUUGUGCAAGUCUUUGGAGGCGAGGGAUGUUAUCAUCACUUCGUUGGGCCAUGUAAAAUAACGUGUAAAAAGCUUUCAAACCCAAGGUGUGAUCUCAUUUGUGAAUGACACUUAAAGCUGCCUGGGAACGAAAGCCUUUGUGUGGAGGUCAUUGCUGUGGGAUCAGGACCCAGCCCCAAUCCACGCUGCAGCCUGGGCAGGGGGAUGCUGCUGCAGUCCUGCCCUCUCUGACACGGUCAGGCUGUAAUUUGAAUUUCCUGUGCAGGGUUAAAGGCAUGCCAGGAGCUCACUGGGCCAGUGAGCAGGAUCUGCAGCAGGUCAGAGCGCCUGGCUGCGCUGCUGUAACAGUUUCUGCUGCUCCAGGGUCACAGCUUGGGGGAGAACCUUGUAGCAGGUUUGGAGGAGAGGCUUGGAGUGUUACAGGGAAACGGCUUCAGGCAAGAGGAUUCUCGCAGCCCUGGGUUUUUGAGGUGCACAAUCCAUCACGCAGGAGUCCUGCUGGGAUGGAUUGUGAUGGGGAGAGAAAUCUGUGUGGAGAGGGAAGUGAUGCUAUAAAUCAGCAACAAAAAAAAUUGUCUGGGAGUUGGGGAAGGCUUGGACACCUGGAGUGGUCAGGGAGGUUUUCCAAAGGAUUUGAGUGAUGGUCUGGGAAGCAGGAGGAGUCAUUGCAGGGGGUGGGUGAUGCUGAGCAGGUGAAAAGCAGCAGUGAAAAUCGAGAAGAGACUUGCUGAGCUCAUCUCCUCUAACUACUGAUUGGAUUUCUUUUCCUGGUGGUUUUUGCAGCAUUUCUGAGAGCUUCUCCCUUCACCUGGGCCAGCCUGUGGUUUGCAGGCUCUACUAAUUACAAGGCAGCAGGAGCUGAACCAUCCUAACUGGGCUUGCUUUUCAGCCAGAGCUGAGCUUUGACAAAGACCGGGGCUGUACCUUUUAUGUGUGGAAAUCAGAUGGGUCUGCAGCCUUCAGCUGUCAGUGAGGGACCAGUUAAGCUCUGUCACGUGCAUCCAUUUCAUGCAUUCCUUCUGGAGAGGCAGAUGCAGGUUGGCUGUUGUGUUUAAAAACCACCCUCUUUGCUUUGGUACCGAGUCUCAAUAUCAGGGCUGGUAAACUCAUUUAAAAAUAAUAAUGUAAAUGUUUUAGGUUAUGUCCUAGACAAGGGCACUGUUAGAAAAAAAAAAACUCCGUGUCAUUUUUUGCCAUUAAACUGUUCUAAAAAGGAACAGGUUGUGACAAAAUACGGACAAAAUAACCUAAAUUGUUGGCAGAGCUAACAUGUAUUGGAUACCAAAAGGCUCUUUGUAGUGUGGACAAGUCUUACCUAUUAAUUCAUAGCUUCCAUUUAUUUCAGCUGGAGAUUGGAUGGGGAAGGGAGGGCUUUGGAAUGUGCUUUAUUCCCCCUUCUCGUGCAUGUUUGAGGAGUUCUGUCAGAGGGCUUAUUUUUAAAACUUUGAAAUUCUAGGGAUUAUUUUUUUUCCACUCCAUCUCUUUGGUGUCUUGCAAGUAUUGAUGAGUGAGGCUUCCAGUGAGUUGUCACUUGCUCUGGAGAACCUCCCAAAUCCCUGGCAGCAAGGAAUGCUGUUCUUCCCUCCACCUCUGGCAUCGCCCUUUGUUUUCUUAGCAAAAUUCUUGCAUUUUUCUGAUCAAAAGAGAAGCUUUCAGUUGUUUUUUGUCUGCUUGGUGCUGCAGACAGUGUGGAAAACCUGGCUGAUGAAGGAAUUCCUUAAAAUGGAACCUGUGCUUGGCUUCAGUCUCCAUUAAUAGAUUGGGUUUUUUACAUAACUUUGCAUAACAUUUGAAUAAUCUGGCAUUGUUGGUUUUGAAAGCCUUGAAGGGCUGUCAGCAGUCACCAAAAUCAUUCUUUCAGUAGUUUGUGUACUUGUCUCAUAUUAAAUGUUUUCCUUAAGCACUCUCCUUCAGAGAGUUAUUUUACAGACUAAAUCCCAUUGAAAGCUGUAUCUUUUUUUGCCUCUUGGAGGGCACUAAAGACCAAUGUCUGGGGCCUGUAGUGAUUUUUUUUUUCUUGUUCAGAACAUCUGUGCUGUCUCUUGGGAUUUGGUUCCCUUUGGACUUGCAUUGCUCAAUUCUCAUCUAUUUAUUUUGCACAGUUUACAGCUGUUGGGGCUAAAAGUUUCCUGAUGCAUUUGAAAGGAAUAUUUGCAAUGUGUUGUUAAGCCAAAAUAGUGAUGAAUUUGUGUUUUCAUUGUGCUCCCUGUUAAGAUUUCUAAAUUCUACAAACAGAGUAAUAAACCUACUAAAGUGCUUGUA
This is a long non-coding RNA of Pyrgilauda ruficollis (rufous-necked snowfinch), 6168 nucleotides long. RefSeq lists it as uncharacterized. Lineage: Eukaryota; Metazoa; Chordata; Aves; Passeriformes; Passeridae. The transcript has 2 exons. The record is from RefSeq and is a predicted model, not a curated record.